RNAcentral lists this unclassified non-coding RNA (281 nucleotides) under Bracteacoccus bullatus. RNAcentral's name for it is "partial internal transcribed spacer 2". The record is from RNAcentral. Lineage: Eukaryota; Viridiplantae; Chlorophyta; Chlorophyceae; Sphaeropleales; Bracteacoccaceae.
UAAACCCAUCGCUUCCCUCCCUUGUUAAACCAGGGGGGUCGGCCCAUCACUUGCUGGUGGGCUUGGAAGCGGAGCUGGCUUUCCCACGCUUCGUGCGUGGGUUGGCUGAAAAGCAGAGGCUAGAGCUAGGACCCAUCAUGGGCUCAACUGGAUAGGUAGAUCUGGCGCCUAGCGGCACCUCCUACACGAAGUUGUGGCUUGUGGUCCUCGGCUGGCGGCCUGCAGGAAAUGAGCGUGUGUGCGUGUUGGAGCUUCUGCUUCCACCGCCUCCGCCAUCUACC